UACGAAGGGGGCUAGCGUUGCUCGGAAUCACUGGGCGUAAAGCGCACGUAGGCGGGUCGUUAAGUCAGGGGUGAAAUCCUGGAGCUCAACUCCAGAACUGCCUUUGAUACUGAGAAGCUUGAGUCCGGGAGAGGUGAGUGGAACUGCGAGUGUAGAGGUGAAAUUCGUAGAUAUUCGCAAGAACACCAGUGGCGAAGGCGGCUCACUGGCCCGGUACUGACGCUGAGGUGCGAAAGCGUGGGGAGCAAACAGG
Molecule: ribosomal RNA, 253 nt
Filed under: uncultured bacterium
Lineage: Bacteria
Description: partial 16S ribosomal RNA
Rfam family: Bacterial small subunit ribosomal RNA
Source: RNAcentral